UGAUCGGUAUAAUUUGGGUUGGAUGGCC
RNAcentral lists this small RNA (28 nucleotides) under Bombyx mori (domestic silkworm). RNAcentral's name for it is "ovarian small RNA-32708". Lineage: Eukaryota; Metazoa; Arthropoda; Insecta; Lepidoptera; Bombycidae. The record is from RNAcentral.